AACGAACGCUGGCGGCAUGCCUAACACAUGCAAGUCGAACGAGACCUUCGGGUCUAGUGGCGCACGGGUGCGUAACGCGUGGGAACCUGCCCUUAGGUUCGGAAUAACUCCCCGAAAGGGGUGCUAAUACCGGAUAAUGUCUUCGGACCAAAGAUUUAUCGCCUUUGGAUGGGCCCGCGUUGGAUUAGCUAGUUGGUAGUGUAAAAGCCUACCAAGGCGACGAUCCAUAGCUGGUCUGAGAGGAUGAUCAGCCACACUGGGACUGAGACACGGCCCAGACUGCUACGGGACGCAGCAGUGGGGAAUAUUGGACGCUGGGCGAAAGCCUGAUACAGCAAUGCCGCGGGAGUGAUGAAGGCCUUAGGGUUGUAAAGCUCUUUUACCCGGGAUGAUAAUGACAGUACCGGGAGAAUAAGCACCGGCUAACUCCGUG
RNAcentral lists this ribosomal RNA (433 nucleotides) under uncultured bacterium. RNAcentral's name for it is "partial 16S ribosomal RNA". It matches the Rfam family "Bacterial small subunit ribosomal RNA", at positions 29 to 507 of the family's 1533-position model. The record is from RNAcentral.